RNAcentral lists this long non-coding RNA (1467 nucleotides) under Phascolarctos cinereus (koala). RNAcentral's name for it is "lncRNA (ENSPCIG00000032457.1)". The record is from RNAcentral. Lineage: Eukaryota; Metazoa; Chordata; Mammalia; Diprotodontia; Phascolarctidae.
AUGUCAGACAAUAGAUCAUGUUACUGAGAAAACCCUCAGACUCUGCAGUGAUGAGGACAGAUAUAUACACCUAUGCCCCAUUGAAACAUGCCACCCUGAACACCCAGCAGACUUAGGUCAGGCCUAGCAGCCCCCAUCCCCCCUCUUAGAACCACCCAGGUCCCUGAUAGAUGUGCUGACCUAUUCCUUCUUCCUCCUCUCAGCUGCUGUCCUUAGCACCUGGAUCCAGUUGGCAUCUCCUCAAUUUCUAAAAUGAAAGUGGAGCUCAGACCGCCCUAUGGCAUGGUGGGGGGCAACAUCACCUUAUCCAUCCUGGGGCUCUCAAAGGAACCUCGAAGGUACACUUGGUUCAAAAAGACAACAGAUGGGUCCAACAGGAUUGUGACCUACAAUGUUCAGACAGGACAGCAGACACCAGCCAAUGGUCGAGUGAUUGUAUUCCCCAAUGGCACUCUGCUCAUCACCAACCUCACCCUCGUGACAGUGAUGAGUACAUAGUGGAGAUUUUUUCUACAGUUGAUGGUCUGGGAAACUAUCAGUUAUCUCUUCUAGGGGUACAUCUGGAAGUCUAUGAUUCAAAUUCCGGAGGAGGGGUGGUCGCUGGCAUUGUGAUUGGAGUCCUGGCUGGGGUGGCUCUCAUUGGGGCCCUCAUCUAUUUCCUGUACAUCAGAAAGACUGGAAGAGCCUCACAAGGGCUACUGGGAGACCCUGGACCAGGAGGGAAAACUCAACCAGCUCAGAAGCCUAGCCAGGUUCUGGAAAAUAUUUGCUGGCUACAAGACCAAAUCCUUCUGCACAGGGCUUGGGCCCCACACCCACCUCCUCUGCAGCAGCCCCUGAAAAUGUCUACCAGGCACUGGAUGUUUCCCAAGUGGCUGUUUAUGAAAGGUUUGCUGCCGGGAGCAAGCCUCAAACCGAGGAAGGUGGGAGGAGUCCCUAGAGAUGAUAUCACAACCUGACUGCUUUCCUUGAUUAAGACGCUGGACAUCACCGGGGUGGAUGUUUAUGAGAAGAUUGUUCCUUGGAAAACUAAUCAACCCUAUAAAGGAGAAAGGAGUCCCUAAAGAUGAUGUCACAGCCUGGUUGCUUUUCUUCACUAAGGGGAUGCUCAUAGACAACUCUUUUGGGAAAAAAGCUAAGGGCAAGGAGGGAAACCAACCAGGAGAAAGAGAAAGAGUCGGGUUUGAGGAGAGGGGAGGCUUCAGGGUGCCAGAGGUAUCCAUAUUCACUUAUUCAUGGAAUAGAGAACUAAACAGUGAACUAAACCAGGCAAGGAGAAGAGGAAGUACAGGGGCCAGACCUGCUUGUGCUGAGCUGUCUGGAACCUGGGUCACCCAGUGGCUUCAUUUGUAGUCCAGGGUCCGUGCUCUGUGAACUCAAGGGCUUCAACAUCUUAAUAUUUCCAUGUCUUUUACUUUCCCCUCUAUCAGUUUCCAAAUAAAAGUUCUUUUUGAAAAUUUCUGUCCA